GACUGGAGUGCCAAACUCUACAGCUGCAAGAAAGAACUCAGAGAACUGUGAGAAAGAUACCAUUUUGGAGCUGGGGAUAGGAUACGGCUCUCCAUAAAACGAUGGUUCAUCCCACAGCAUCUCAUCCUUCACCAAGAAUUCACCAUUUUCCUCUCUGCUGGGCUUCUUGCUGGGCUCACUCAACUGCAUUGUCUUACAAGACGUCACUUUCUUGCCUGCUCAUGGAUGGAGAGGUAGUUUCUGGCAGAGUACAGGUUCCAAGACUUAACUCAAACCCUUUGUACAAAACAGCACUGCUUCCUUUCCCUCUCCACCAUCCCUCCCCUUGACUAAUCAGCAAAUCUGCUCUAGGCAGCGCUUUGACAAUCCUUUGAUGACAGCCACAUGUGCUACUGAUGCCACCCAUAACCACCAGCUGGCUCACACAAUGUUAAGAUGAAAGACAACUGAAGAGUGCAACAUGCAUAUCACCCCCUGUGAGGCUGCAAUUCAUCCAAAGGAGGACUUACAAAGGCACUCAAGUUUGUGUAAGCAGAGUCAGGAUGAGCUCUCCCCUGACCUCUGGUGGUGAAUUAUGGGAAGUGCGGAAAGAAGGCCAGGAAAUGUGAACUCUCAAAUAUUUGCAUGGGCACACCCAGCAAGGCAGCCUGGGAUGGUUAUUUUGACAGCUGGGCUCCCCAAUUUCUUUG
This is an RNA transcript of Gopherus evgoodei (Goodes thornscrub tortoise), 689 nucleotides long. It is a transcript of the gene named claw keratin-like, with no coding region annotated. The transcript is spliced from 2 exons. Lineage: Eukaryota; Metazoa; Chordata; Testudines; Testudinidae. The record is from RefSeq and is a predicted model, not a curated record.